CUACCCAACAGUGGAACACAAUACAAACUCAGCUUGAUUUAGUAAUUGCAGUCAUGAUUUAUGUGCAACCGUGUCACUUCACUGAGCAUUGAUUUGAUAGAUAAUGGAAAGCAUGUGCCUGGCUUAUUUGGAAAGUUUAUUUGACACUACAAAUUCUUGAAGGAAUGUGCAGAAACUUCUGAAUAUAUGGGACAAACUCACCUGGUGUAAAUCAGGUGUCUGAAUUGACAAGAGCAGUAAUGGGUAAGGCAGUAAUUAGUAUGCAUAACUAUUUCAAGGUGAGUAAAAUAAAACAGUUCCAGAGCCCAGAGUGUCAUUGAUUUACGCCAGCUGAGGAUAUGGCCCGUAGAACUGACAAGAAAUGGCUAUGCCUACUAAUUACUGAAACUGCUAAUGUAUUUCAGCUGGUACUAACUGGUUUUAUGUCACUGGAAAACUACAGAAGGGCUAGCUAGCUCUUGCAGAUCAGACACCAACCUGGUUGUGAAGUUUUUUUGGUUAAAUGUCCAGAAAAGUGGGGCUGCAGUUUAUGCAAUGACUGUUCUUGUUAGCAUUAAACCCUGACAAGACUUCUCACUAACUUGGGCAUCCUCCUUACAGUUUGCACCGUCUUCUUCACAGAUUGAGGCAGGAUGAAAAGCUGAUUUUUGGGCUAGCCUUCUGGCAUAGUGUGGUUUGGGAUGCUUUUGACACUAUUACAAUUUCAGGUGGUCACUCAGGAAGAAGCAGCUGGUGAGUACAGAACACUUCCAUACUUGGUACUUGCUGUGGUUUGUAAGCAGCAAGAGCUGAAAACGUGUGGGAAGUGCUUCAAAUGGGCUCACACAGUUUCUAAUUUAUGUAGAGGGUAUUGAGGGUUAUACUGCAUGCCAUAUUUUGUCCUGUCAGAUUUAUGUCUCACAUCACUUCAGUCACAGGUAUAUCUUUCCAGGGAUUCAAAUCAUCACUGAAGGUAAAAGCCCUCACAGACAUGAGGACACCGAAGUCCUUCAGAGCACGGCCACAGGAUGUUUUCACCGUCUCCUUCAAGAGAGAUACAUGCAAGGAAAAGCUGAAAUACUUUUCCCAUUGUCCAACAUACAAAACAUGUUGCUGGGGAAGUCCUGGUUACCAAAUGUGUCUGCAGAAUGUGCAGGCACUAGCAGCACUAGAGCAAGCACAAAAGAUUGGCUUUGUCUCCUUUAUUCAUGAUAAAUUCACAUUUUACUUCUUGUGCAUUCGCUGAAGUCAGCAGAGCUCGAAGCAGAGUAUGCAGAUAUUGAUUUUGAAUCCUGGACCAGAAUCUCUCACUCUUCCCAAAUUCCACAUUUUUCAGAAGUGCUGGUCACCAUUCCAACAGCUCUAAAACUGGAUGUUGCAGGUGUCUUGCAUUGACAGCUGCAAUUUUACUGAUGCUGUGCAGCACAGGAUGUCCACUCUCAUUACGUCUCAAGACACAGGAAAUGCAACUCAGUAUCUGAAUGCAUAAGAGAGAAGGAGCCUUUUAAAGUUCAAGGUAAGUGCCAUGAUUUUUAAGUUGCUGGAGGAGAAGAAGAGAGCAUUUAAUGGAUCCUUUACUUAAUUUUGAAACUUGCCUUUUAUUUUUAAUGCUUCCUACAGGAUUCAAGAAGCCUGUUGACACCAGUACACGCUGGUAUAUAAAAAUCAAUUACAGAAUUUAAUACUUACGUCUGCUGACUUCCAACCCCACAAAAGCCUGCACUGAGGAGGUUCAGAAAUUAGAAGUGAAGAACUGCCAGGCACUUAGAUUCUUUUUGUGAAGACUGACUGAAGAGAAGCAUGCAAAACACAAGAAUCAGAAUGAGUUGCUACACAAAUGAUAAACAAAAUAAAAAUAUGUUGAGAAAUAUACA
Molecule: long non-coding RNA, 1853 nt
Organism: Junco hyemalis (dark-eyed junco)
Lineage: Eukaryota; Metazoa; Chordata; Aves; Passeriformes; Passerellidae
Source: Ensembl